UUUGUCAUAUAAUUUCUCAUAUUUCUAUUUAUUACCCGUAAAAAUUGAAAUAUUAAAUUUCAAUAAGAUACGAUAUAAAUAUUAAAAGUACUUAUACCAAUUAUUCACGAUAGUGCCUAACCCACACCUCAUAUAAUUUGUAAUGUUAUUAUCACGUGCUUUUCUUUGUUUAGUUUUUUUCAAUGAAGUGAAAACGCUUCCGUUUGAGUUUGAGUAGAGUGAAAGCUAAAAAUAAUAUAGCCAACAUUUGUGAUUGUAUUUCUUUUUAUUAAUUCAUUGAAAUUAAAUAAAACCCAGAAUGCCAAAAAGAAAUUUAAAGUGGAGCUGAAAAUUGGAAAAAAAUGCUGCUGGUCUCAAAGCAGGGCUGAUCUAAAACAACUUAAAUUAUCUUUCUUUUAUAAAUCAAUACCAAGAAUAUCAACCAUUUACAUCUACCUGAAACAAUUAAAGUGUCUGCAACAUCAUUAUUUAUUAUUGAAAACUAUAUUAUCCACCAUUACAAGCAAUUCCAUCUUUAUUAUCCUCACAUUUGUCAGAAGCAACUACAUCAAUAAUGCCUUCAGAUAUUUCACAAAGUGAAUUAUUGAUAUCGGAAACAAUUGCAUCAUGUAUAGGAAUAUUAACGUCACAUUCAUCUGUAACAAUUUCAUCAUCUAUUCUUUUAAAGAGCUCCUUCCCAGAUAUGCCACAAAUCGAUUCAGGGGAUCCUACAGUAGCUCCUUCAGAAUUGGAUAUGCAUACAUACACUUUAAGUUGAAAUUAACAGCUACUAUGCCUCAAAUACUUACAUUUUUAAUGCAAGAUCCUAUACAACCAAUAAAUAGUAAAUAUGAUAAAUUAUAUAAUCGAAUGGUAAUGAGUGAAAAAUACUUAGAAAAUGAAAUUGAAUAUUAAUUAAAUUAACUUCAACUGAAAAUAUAAC
Long non-coding RNA from Gordionus sp. m RMFG-2023, 922 nucleotides. RefSeq lists it as uncharacterized. NCBI's taxonomy places the organism in Eukaryota, Metazoa, Nematomorpha, Gordioida, Chordodea, Parachordodidae. The transcript has 5 exons. The record is from RefSeq and is a predicted model, not a curated record.